GCUCCCUGAUGUUAGCGGCGGACGGGUGAGUAACACGUGGGUAACCUGCCUGUAAGACUGGGAUAACUCCGGGAAACCGGGGCUAAUACCGGAUGCUUGUUUGAACCGCAUGGUUCAAACAUAAAAGGUGGCUUCGGCUACCACUUACAGAUGGACCCGCGGCGCAUUAGCUAGUUGGUGAGGUAAUGGCUCACCAAGGCAACGAUGCGUAGCCGACCUGAGAGGGUGAUCGGCCACACUGGGACUGAGACACGGCCCAGACUCCUACGGGAGGCAGCAGUAGGGAAUCUUCCGCAAUGGACGAAAGUCUGACGGAGCAACGCCGCGUGAGUGAUGAAGGUUUUCGGAUCGUAAAGCUCUGUUGUUAGGGAAGAACAAGUACCGUUCGAAUAGGGCGGUACCUUGACGGUACCUAACCAGAAAGCCACGGCUAACUACGUGCCAGCAGCCGCGGUAAUACGUAGGUGGCAAGCGUUGUCCGGAAUUAUUGGGCGUAAAGGGCUCGCAGGCGGUUUCUUAAGUCUGAUGUGAAAGCCCCCGGCUCAACCGGGGAGGGUCAUUGGAAACUGGGGAACUUGAGUGCAGAAGAGGAGAGUGGAAUUCCACGUGUAGCGGUGAAAUGCGUAGAGAUGUGGAGGAACACCAGUGGCGAAGGCGACUCUCUGGUCUGUAACUGACGCUGAGGAGCGAAAGCGUGGGGGAGCGAACAGGAUUAGAUACCCUGGUAGUCCACGCCGUAAACGAUGAGUGCUAAGUGUUAGGGGGUUUCCGCCCCUUAGUGCUGCAGCUAACGCAUUAAGCACUCCGCCUGGGGAGUACGG
This 821-nucleotide ribosomal RNA is filed under the name Bacillus sp. (in: firmicutes). Its description in RNAcentral is "bacterial SSU rRNA". It matches the Rfam family "Bacterial small subunit ribosomal RNA", at positions 81 to 885 of the family's 1533-position model. Lineage: Bacteria; Bacillati; Bacillota; Bacilli; Caryophanales; Bacillaceae. The record is from RNAcentral.